RNAcentral lists this long non-coding RNA (1598 nucleotides) under Manacus vitellinus (golden-collared manakin). RNAcentral's name for it is "lncRNA (ENSMVIG00005010291.1)". The record is from RNAcentral. Lineage: Eukaryota; Metazoa; Chordata; Aves; Passeriformes; Pipridae.
GGUGGUGGGGCUUACGCAGUUGUAGUUGGGGGUGCAGCAGAGGACGCGUAUCCUGUAGUUGAGGCACAUCUUGAAUUUUCCAGUCUGGUCCUCGUUCUUGCACACCAGUCCAUAGUGGACGUCGCACUGCACGACCUGCCCCACCUGUUGGAUGGGAACGUCGGGGUAGUCCUCGGCCCGGCACUCGAUCUCCUUUGGACGCUGGCAGACGCGCUUCCCGGCGGCCCGGAUGUGCUGGUAGGUUUCGAAGUCUCCCUGGUUGGGCCCGGCGGAGGGGAAGUCGACGUCGAACCAUUCGCUCCAGGUGCAGACUUCGGGUUCACAGGGGGUGGUGGAUGUGGUGGAGCUCACGGUGGGAGUGGCUGUGGGAGGCGUUGGCGUGGGGCUGGUGGUGGUGGUGGAAGUGGACGUGGUUUCUGAGGAGGUGGGCAGCGUGGUGGAAGAGUGGAAGGUGGAGGUGGAGGUCGUGACUGAGGUGGAGGUUGGCAGCGUGCUGCUUGCCGUGGGCCUGCUGGUGGUGGUGGUGAUGGGGCUGGUGGUGGGGCUGGUGGUGGGGCUUACGCAGUUGUAGUUGGGGGUGCAGCAGAGGACGCGUAUCCUGUAGUUGAGGCACAUCUUGAAUUUUCCAGUCUGGGCCUCGUUCUUGCACACCAGUCCAUAGUGGACGUCGCACUGCACGACCUGCCCCACCUGUUGGAUGGGAACGUCGGGGGAGUCCUCGGCCCGGCACUCGAUCUCCUUUGGACGCUGGCAGACGCGCUUCCCGGCGGCCCGGAUGUGCUGUCUGGUCCUCGUUCUUGCACACCAGUCCAUAGUGGACGUCGCACUGCACGACCUGCCCCACCUGUUGGAUGGGAACGUCGGGGUAGUCCUCGGCCCGGCACUCGAUCUCCUUUGGACGCUGGCAGACGCGCUUCCCGGCGGCCCGGAUGUGCUGGUAGGUUUCGAAGUCUCCCUGGUUGGGCCCGGCGGAGGGGAAGUCGACGUCGAACCAUUCGCUCCAGGUGCAGACUUCGGGUUCACAGGGGGUGGUGGAUGUGGUGGAGCUCACGGUGGGAGUGGCUGUGGGAGGCGUUGGCGUGGGGCUGGUGGUGGUGGUGGAAGUGGACGUGGUUUCUGAGGAGGUGGGCAGCGUGGUGGAAGAGUGGAAGGUGGAGGUGGAGGUCGUGACUGAGGUGGAGGUUGGCAGCGUGCUGCUUGCCGUGGGCCUGCUGGUGGUGGUGGUGAUGGGGCUGGUGGUGGGGCUGGUGGUGGGGCUUACGCAGUUGUAGUUGGGGGUGCAGCAGAGGACGCGUAUCCUGUAGUUGAGGCACAUCUUGAAUUUUCCAGUCUGGUCCUCGUUCUUGCACACCAGUCCAUAGUGGACGUCGCACUGCACGACCUGCCCCACCUGUUGGAUGGGAACGUCGGGGUAGUCCUCGGCCCGGCACUCGAUCUCCUUUGGACGCUGGCAGACGCGCUUCCCGGCAGCCCGGAUGUGCUGGUAGGUUUCGAAGUCUCCCUGGUUGGGCCCGGCGGAGGGGAAGUCGACGUCGAACCAUUCGCUCCAGGUGCAGACUUCGGGUUCACAGGGGGUGGUUACCAUAGUAGUGGUGGUG